Molecule: non-coding RNA, 2448 nt
Organism: Delphinapterus leucas (beluga whale)
Lineage: Eukaryota; Metazoa; Chordata; Mammalia; Artiodactyla; Monodontidae
Source: RefSeq, a predicted model, not a curated record
AAUCUGGAAGGAUAUAGAUAAGACCUUUGCUUAUCUGUAUCUUCCAGUUUUCCUACAUUGAAAAUGUAUUAUUUGUAUAAUUAAAAAAUGAAAGUAACUAUGUUUAUAUAUAUAUGGGCUGGUGAGAAAGGUUGGGACAGCAAGAUUCCCAGAUGAGCCAAGGAGUAGAGAGAAAAGGAGGACAGGUAAGCUGGACCCAGCCGAGGUCUUGGAAGGCCAACUGAGGAGUGGAAUUGAAGUGACAGGACAGGAGCAACCGCAGCUCCCAGAGGAAUGAUACCCAGGGAGCCAUGUCCUUGAGGAAAAUUGCUGGGGCAGCAAGUACCAGGUGGACUAGGGCUUGAGGGAGGGGUUAAGGGACGGUUUCAGAAACACCCGUGGAUAGGGAGAGCACCUGAGCAGACCUCACCUGGGAAGGGCAGUGAGAAUGAGAGAUGGGAGUAGAAGGGGGCCACUCGCAGGAAAGCGGACCAGGGCCAGGUGCUACCCCGAGGCCUGGGGAAUGGGUGGAGUGUGAUGGGGAGGGGGUGCCCUCAUCCCACCCAUCUGGGGGUAUUCCUCCCUCCUUGGGCUCAUGCAUCCUGAAGGAAUUUAAUUUCUAGGCAUCACAGGAGGAAAAGAAAAAGAGUGAGACAGAGAGCUGGUCUUCAGCCCCGGGAAGAAGUUGCAGUGCUGGGACACAUACCAAUGAGCAUCGGGGACCCUGCCUAGGAGGAGGUCCCUGAAAAGGUGUGGUUGGCAUGGACGGGGCCCCAGGAGGCCCAGUGUGCUAGAGCUUGGGACAGGGCUUGUCCUGCCCCCAGAGGGGAGCCCACCCACCUCUCUGGAAGGCACAGCACAGCCCCGGCUGGCAGUCCCUCUGGUUGUCACAGAUGGUCCCGUUGCCGCCUUUGGUGGCCGUUCUGGUGCAGUGACCCCAGACGCACAGCUGGUCUCCACAACACUCGCUGUCCCGGGUGCAGAGCUGCAGCAGGGAGGGAAAACACAGGCGGCUUACGGACCUGAGGGAGCCCAGCCUGUCCCUGCCCCCAAUCCAGAAGCCUGGAGACAGUGCAGGUCUCCUACUAUAGACAGGAGGAAACCGAGCUCCUUGGUCUGGGGGUGUCUUAGGGAAGUCAAGGGGGUGGAGAUGGGAGCUGGGCAGGAAACAUGACACCUGGGGGAGUCCUACGCAGCUUGAGAUUUUAUAAAGGAUGGUUGCAUCUUUUCGGUUCCCCCCCAGACUUGGCUUUGCCCCCUUUUCAUUAGGUCCCUAAUUAACGGUCAGGAAGGAAGAUGGCUUAUGGCCCACAGACGCAGGCAGCGGCGUGAAUCUGAUCAGCUGAUUAAAUUAAGGCCCAAGCCUGGACAGCCACAUGGACAUGAGGGCACUGGGUGCCUUGGACCUGGGGUCGCACAUGUGGAGUGGUGGCACCGAGCAGGCCAGGAGCUGCCUAACCACAGGUGGAAGAAGUUAACUGUAUGCUGAUCACAAGCCCGCGGACCCCAGGCAGUUGGAACCAGAAGACUGAUGAUGUUGACUCCCAGUUACCUUCCCACCCAUCAGAAGAAUGUCCGCAAGCUCAUCAGCACAUGUGCAACUCUCUCCCUCAACCUGUCUUUAAAAGCCCUCCCCUGAAAGCCAUCGGGGAGUUGGGAUCUUCUGAGCUUUACUCCUUGCUUGGCCUUGCAACAAACGCUGCACUUUCCUCACCACAACCCAGCAUCAGUAGAUCGGCUUUACUAUGUGCAGCAUCCCACGCAUCUCGGCCUACGAGCCCCCUCCCACGGCUCUGCCCGAAGUUUCCAUCACCACGGCAGUGCAGCAGCUCAGCAAGUAGGGUCUGCCCUCCCAAAAGGAAUCGAUCUUGUCCCUGUUCCCAACCCAGCAACCCUAAAAGGUCGACUGUUUUUACUGGUGAGAAAACUGAGUCUCAGAGGGGCGGAAGGGCCGCCCAAAUCAGGGGCUGAGCUGGGGGCAGGGCACUCAGUCUGUGUGACCCCAGAGUCCAUAAUAGCCUGAGAAGCCGACAGGUUUAUAAGUAAAGCACUCAGCCACCACGCCUUCCUCGACACAGACUCAACUCAGCCAGUUAAGCCAGAAGCGUCCUGACAUUUCUUCCAAAACAGAAUAGCAAGAGCAUGGGGUGGUGGGGGCAGGAGGGAGGGAGGAGUAGAGGGCCCACAGGUAUCAAGGCCCUUCUCUGAACCCGGCCACAUUUUGAAGCAUUGGGAUGCAAACAUGAAUAGGAGAAGGCCUUUGCCCUCAAAGAAUUUAUCAUUCAAUUAAAAAAAAAAAAAUGCAACCCAGCAGAAAAGAGAGAAGGGUAUGAACAGACAACUUACAGCCAGUGAAACUGCUUUGUCUCUUCACGCAGAAAAGAUAUUCGAGGGGCUUCCCUGGUGGUGCAGUGGUUGAGAGUCUGCCUGCCAAUGCAUGGGACACGGGUUCGAGCCCUGGUCUGGGAG